This 37-nucleotide ribosomal RNA is filed under the name Haniffia albiflora. RNAcentral describes it as "partial 26S ribosomal RNA". The record is from RNAcentral. Lineage: Eukaryota; Viridiplantae; Streptophyta; Magnoliopsida; Zingiberales; Zingiberaceae.
GUGGCCCCAAGUCAGGCGAGGCCACCCGCCGAGUUUA